ACCAGACUCCUACGGGAGGCAGCAGUGGGGAAUAUUGCACAAUGGGGGGAACCCUGAUGCAGCGACGCCGCGUGGGUGAAGGAGUAUUUCGGUAUGUAAAGCCCUAUCAGCGGGGAAGAAAAUGACGGUACCUGAGUAAGAAGCCCCGGCUAACUACGUGCCAGCAGCCGCGGUAAUACGUAGGGGGCAAGCGUUAUCCGGAUUUACUGGGUGUAAAGGGAGCGUAGACGGCCAGACAAGUCUGAAGUGAAAAUCCAGCGCUUAACGUUGGAAGUGCUUUGGAAACUGCCGGGCUAGAGUGCAGGAGGGGCAGGCGGAAUUCCUAGUGUAGCGGUGAAAUGCGUAGAUAUUAGGAGGAACACCAGUGGCGAAGGCGGCCUGCUGGACUGCAACUGACGUUGAGGCUCGAAGGCGUGGGGAGCAAACAGGAUUAGAUACCCUGGUAC
Molecule: ribosomal RNA, 446 nt
Filed under: uncultured bacterium
Lineage: Bacteria
Description: bacterial SSU rRNA
Rfam family: Bacterial small subunit ribosomal RNA
Source: RNAcentral